AUAUAAUUUAAUUAAUGAAAUUCUUAAUAUAAAAUUAUUUUAAAUAUUUGAUCCUUUUGUACUAAAAUAUUAAUUUUUUUUUAAAGAUAGAAACCCACCUGGCUCACCCCGGUUUGAACUCAGAUCAUGUAAGAUUUUUUUGAUCGACGAUCAAAUUUUAACUUUUGCAUUUAUAUUUUAUCUUAAUCCAACAUCGAGGUCGCAAUCUCUUUUUUUUAUACGAACUAAAAAAAAAAAUUACGCUGUUAUCCCUAAGGUAAUUUUAUCUUUUAAUCAUUAAUAAUGGAUCAUACAUUCACUUAUUUAUGUUAUUAUAAAAAAAAAGUUUAUUUAAUUUUUCUAUCACCCCAACAAAAUAAUUAAAUUUUUUUUAAUUAUAAUUUAUAUAAAAAAUCUUAAACAAUUUAAUUAUUAAACUCUAUAGGGUCUUCUCGUCUUUUAAAUUUAUUUUAGCUUUUUAACUAAAAAAUUAAAUUCUAAUUAUAAAUAAAAGACAGCUUAUAUUUCAUUAAAUCUUUCAUACAAGUCUUCAAUUAAAAGACUAAUGAUUAUGCUACCUUUGUACAGUCAAUAUACUGCAGCCCUUUAAUAUUAUAUAUCAGUGGGCAGAUUAGACUUUAAAUUAUUUUCAAAAAGACAUGUUUUUGAUAAACAAGUGAAUAUAUACAUUUGCCGAAUUCCUUUUAUUUAAUUUUAUUUAAUUUUAUAUUAUUAUUAUAAUUUUAUACUAAUUUUAUCAUUAUAACGAUUUUUUUAUUAAAAAAAAAUUUUUUUUUAUAUAAAUUUAACUUUUUUAUUAAAUUUUAUUUUAACUAAAAUUUUUUAUAAAAAAUUAAAAUUUUUAAACAAUUUAAAUUUUAAAAAUUUUAAUUUUAUUUAACUUAACUUAUAAAAUUUUAUUAAAAAGCUUAUCCCUCUUAAUAUUUAAUUUAAUUAAAUAAUAAUUUUUUAAAAAAUUAUUAUUUUAAUUAAAUUUUAAAUUAAAUUUAUUUCUAAAAAAACUAGAUAUAUUUAAAAAAGAUUAACAUUUUAUUGCCUCUUAAUUAUUUAAAAUAAUAAUGCUACAUUAACUUUUUUAACUAAUUAACUUUCAAAUUCGAGAAAUUUUUUUAAAAAAAUUCUUUAUUAAUAAACUCUGAUACACAAGAUACAAUUAAUUAAAUUUACUUUUUAUUAAUUUAAUUUUCAUUUAUUUCAAAUUUCUUUUACAAUACUAAUUUAAUAUAAAAUUUUUAAUUUUUUUUAUUAAAAAUACUCCAACCCCAUAUUUUUAUUUUAAAAUUUUUUUUAUUAAUUAUAAUUUUUUAAUUUUUCCCCC
This 1318-nucleotide ribosomal RNA is filed under the name Tirumala limniace. RNAcentral's name for it is "16S ribosomal RNA". The record is from RNAcentral. Lineage: Eukaryota; Metazoa; Arthropoda; Insecta; Lepidoptera; Nymphalidae.